Molecule: small RNA, 679 nt
Filed under: Pan troglodytes (chimpanzee)
Lineage: Eukaryota; Metazoa; Chordata; Mammalia; Primates; Hominidae
Description: processed transcript
Source: RNAcentral
GUGUUCAGGAGCUGAGCCUGUCAGCCCCGCUGACCGUGCUCCCGACCAUCAGCUGUGGGCACACCAUCGAGAUCCUCCGGGAGAAGGGCUUCGACCAGGCGCCCGUGGUGGAUGAGGCGGGGGUAAUCCUGGGAAUGGUGACGCUUGGGAACAUGCUGUCGUCCCUGCUUGCCGGGAAGGUGCAGCCGUCAGACCAAGUUGGCAAAGUCAUCUACAAGCAGUUCAAACAGAUCCGCCUCACGGACACGCUGGGCAGGCUCUCGCACAUCCUGGAGAUGGACCACUUCGCCCUGGUGCUGCACGAGCAGAUCCAGUUGCAGGACCAGGCCUGGGCAGGCGUGGUGGGGGGGCCUGCAGAAAAAAAAAAAAAAAAGAUGCAAAUUCCAAUGUCAGGGUCCCCAAAUCAAGUCUUCUGGAGCAUGUCCACGCUUGUCACCACCGUCUGUGGCUGCUUUCAAGCACGUCACGGGUGCGUGCUCAUAACAGAGACGGCAUGACCCCAAGACCUAAAAUACCACCAGCUGGCCCUUGUCGGAAAGUCCCCUGGCCGGCCCUAGUCCACUGCCUCCGGGCCGGGCUGCCAGGGCCACAGAAGCCUGAGGCACUCAGGGCUCCCAGGGCUCCCUUCUCCAACAGUUGCUGUGCCUCGGUUUCCCCGAAAUGCAAGGAGCUGAUCUCA